UGGCACGCCACGUCUGUCUUUGCGUCAUAAUUCAGACAAACUCUAUUGUUUAGUCUACUAAAAAUCAUGACGACGCAUUUAUGAAGACUUAAAAGAAAAAAUUUUAUUGACAGAAUCAAAAUUGAAUUCUGGACUUUUAUUAUAUAAUAACUUAUAUAAAUAAACUAUUCAUCUUGUUGUGUUCCUUUAAUAUAAAGUCAUUUAGAAGAAAAUCUUUGCAACGGCUAUACUGCAGAUCCUUUGCUCAACAUGAAGACAUUGUGUUUAAUUUUGGCUUUGAUUUUAGUCAGUGCAGCCUUUCCGCAGUCUGGUUAAGUAAUCCGGCAUUUCCUGAAUAAAUUGUACAACGAUUAUUGCUGAUGAAAUUUAAAUUAUUUGUAUCCUAUUGGCUUAUAAAAUAAAAUUUCUGCUGUGUUAUGA
Molecule: long non-coding RNA, 420 nt
Organism: Argiope bruennichi
Lineage: Eukaryota; Metazoa; Arthropoda; Arachnida; Araneae; Araneidae
Exons: 2
Source: RefSeq, a predicted model, not a curated record